This 480-nucleotide ribosomal RNA is filed under the name uncultured bacterium. RNAcentral's name for it is "partial 16S ribosomal RNA". It matches the Rfam family "Bacterial small subunit ribosomal RNA", at positions 28 to 507 of the family's 1533-position model. The record is from RNAcentral.
GACGAACGCUGGCGGCGCGCCUAACACAUGCAAGUCGAGCGAUGAAAUUUUAACCGAUCUCUUCGGAGAGAAGAUAAAAUGGAUUAGCGGCGAACGGGUGAGUAACACGUGAGAAACCUGCCUUUCACAAGGGGAUAGCCUCGGGAAACCGGGAUUAAUACCCUAUGACACAUUUCCUUCGCAUGGAAGAAAUGUUAAAACUCCGGUGGUGAAAGAUGGUCUCGCGCCUGAUUAGCUAGUUGGUGGGGUAACGGCCCACCAAGGCCAUGAUCAGUAACCGGCCUGAGAGGGUGAACGGUCACAUUGGAACUGAGACACGGUCCAAACUCCUACGGGAGGCAGCAGUGGGGAAUAUUGCACAAUGGAGGAAACUCUGAUGCAGCGACGCCGCGUGAGCGAUGAAGGCUUUCGAGUCGUAAAGCUCUGUCCUAUGGGAAGAUAAUGACGGUACCAUAGGAGGAAGCCCCGGCUAACUACGUG